AAAAAUUUAAAUAUACAUAUAUUAGAGUAGUAACAGAUUAGUCUUGAAACUUAAAAAAUUUGGCGGUAAUUUAGUCUAUUCAGAGGAACUUGUUUAAUAAUUGAUGAUCCACAAUAUAUCUUACUUAAUUUAGUUAAAUUUUGUAUAUCAUUGUCUUUAGAAUAUUUUAGAAAAAUAAUAAUUUUCUUAAAUUUAAAUUUAAAAAUAUGUCAAAUCAAGGUGCAGAUAAUAAUUAAGAAUAAAUGAGUUACAAUAAAAUUAUUUAUACAGUAAAUAUUUUGAAAUAAAUAUUUUAAGGUGGAUUUGAGAGUAAAUUUAUUUAAGGUAGAUAAAUUGAUUUAAGCUCUAAAUUAUGC
This 356-nucleotide ribosomal RNA is filed under the name Bibio marci (St. Mark's fly). RNAcentral's name for it is "partial 12S ribosomal RNA". Lineage: Eukaryota; Metazoa; Arthropoda; Insecta; Diptera; Bibionidae. The record is from RNAcentral.